RNAcentral lists this ribosomal RNA (917 nucleotides) under Stagonosporopsis cucurbitacearum. Its description in RNAcentral is "partial large subunit ribosomal RNA". It matches the Rfam family "Eukaryotic large subunit ribosomal RNA", at positions 32 to 974 of the family's 3401-position model. Lineage: Eukaryota; Fungi; Ascomycota; Dothideomycetes; Pleosporales; Didymellaceae. The record is from RNAcentral.
ACUAGCAUUCAAUAAGCGGAGGAAAAGAAACCAACAGGGAUUGCCCUAGUAACGGCGAGUGAAGCGGCAACAGCUCAAAUUUGAAAUCUGGCGUCUUCGGCGUCCGAGUUGUAAUUUGCAGAGGGCGCUUUGGCAUUGGCAGCGGUCCAAGUUCCUUGGAACAGGACGUCACAGAGGGUGAGAAUCCCGUACGUGGUCGCUAGCCUUUACCGUGUAAAGCCCCUUCGACGAGUCGAGUUGUUUGGGAAUGCAGCUCUAAAUGGGAGGUAAAUUUCUUCUAAAGCUAAAUACUGGCCAGAGACCGAUAGCGCACAAGUAGAGUGAUCGAAAGAUGAAAAGCACUUUGGAAAGAGAGUUAAAAAGCACGUGAAAUUGUUGAAAGGGAAGCGCUUGCAGCCAGACUUGCCUGUAGUUGCUCAUCCGGGUUUCUACCCGGUGCACUCUUCUAUAGGCAGGCCAGCAUCAGUUUGGGCGGUUGGAUAAAGGUCUCUGUCAUGUACCUCCUUUCGGGGAGAUCUUAUAGGGGAGACGACAUGCAACCAGCCUGGACUGAGGUCCGCGCAUCUGCUAGGAUGCUGGCGUAAUGGCUGUAAGCGGCCCGUCUUGAAACACGGACCAAGGAGUCUAACAUCUAUGCGAGUGUUUGGGUGUCAAGCCCGAACGCGUAAUGAAAGUGAACGGAGGUGGGAACCUUUCGGGGUGCACCAUCGACCGAUCCUGAUGUCUUCGGAUGGAUUUGAGUAAGAGCAUAGCUGUUGGGACCCGAAAGAUGGUGAACUAUGCUUGAAUAGGGUGAAGCCAGAGGAAACUCUGGUGGAGGCUCGCAGCGGUUCUGACGUGCAAAUCGAUCGUCAAAUUUGGGCAUAGGGGCGAAAGACUAAUCGAACUAUCUAGUACUGGGUCUCAGAGUCCCCCCC